RNAcentral lists this transfer RNA (76 nucleotides) under Bacillota bacterium. RNAcentral's name for it is "tRNA-Trp". It matches the Rfam family "tRNA". Rfam says of the family: Transfer RNA (tRNA) molecules are approximately 80 nucleotides in length. Their secondary structure includes four short double-helical elements and three loops (D, anti-codon, and T loops). Further hydrogen bonds mediate the characteristic L-shaped molecular structure. tRNAs have two regions of fundamental functional importance: the anti-codon, which is responsible for specific mRNA codon recognition, and the 3' end, to which the tRNAs corresponding amino acid is attached (by aminoacyl-tRNA synthetases). tRNAs cope with the degeneracy of the genetic code in two manners: having more than one tRNA (with a specific anti-codon) for a particular amino acid; and 'wobble' base-pairing, i.e. permitting non-standard base-pairing at the 3rd anti-codon position. The record is from RNAcentral. Lineage: Bacteria; Bacillati; Bacillota.
GGGGGAGUAACUCAAUUGGCAGAGUGGCGGUCUCCAAAACCGCAAGCUGCAGGUUCGAGUCCUGUCUCCCCUGCCA